AUACGAAGGGGGCUAGCGUUGUUCGGAAUCACUGGGCGUAAAGCGCACGUAGGUGGAUCAAUCAGUUGAGGGUGAAAUCCCGGGGCUCAACCUCGGAACUGCCUUCAAUACUGUUGGUCUUGAGUCCGUGAGAGGUGAGUGGAAUUCCUAGUGUAGAGGUGAAAUGCGUAGAUAUUAGGAAGAACACCAGUGGCGAAGGCGGCUCACUGGCUCGGUACUGACGCUGAGGUGCGAAAGCGUGGGGAGCAAACAGAAGUAGAAACCCUAGUAGUCC
This 274-nucleotide ribosomal RNA is filed under the name uncultured bacterium. Its description in RNAcentral is "partial 16S ribosomal RNA". It matches the Rfam family "Bacterial small subunit ribosomal RNA", at positions 523 to 796 of the family's 1533-position model. The record is from RNAcentral.